CGGCGGACGGGUGAGUAAUGCGUAGGAAUUUACCUCAAAGCGGGGGGAUAGCCCGGAGAAAUCCGGAUUAAUACCGCAUGUGCUCUACGGAGGAAAGCGGGGCCUCUCCUUGAAAGCUCGCACUUUGAGAUAAGCCUACGUCGGAUUAGCUUGUUGGUAGGGUAAAAGCCUACCAAGGCGACGAUCCGUAGCUGGUUUGAGAGGAUGAUCAGCCACACUGUGACUGAGACACGGCCCAG
This 239-nucleotide ribosomal RNA is filed under the name uncultured bacterium. RNAcentral's name for it is "partial 16S ribosomal RNA". It matches the Rfam family "Bacterial small subunit ribosomal RNA", at positions 96 to 334 of the family's 1533-position model. The record is from RNAcentral.